CGUAGGGCGCAAGCGUUAUCCGGAAUUAUUGGGCGUAAAGAGCUUGUAGGCGGUUCGUCGCGUCUGGUGUGAAAGCCCAUCGCUUAACGGUGGGUCGUGCGCCGGGUACGGGCGGGCUAGAGUGCAGUAGGGGAGACUGGAAUUCCCGGUGUAACGGUGGAAUAGUGUAGAUAUCGGGAAGGAACACCAAUGGCGAAAAGGCAGGUCUCUGGGCGUGUUACUGACGCUGAGAAGCGAAAGCGUGGGGAGCGAACAGGAUU
Molecule: ribosomal RNA, 260 nt
Filed under: uncultured bacterium
Lineage: Bacteria
Description: partial 16S ribosomal RNA
Rfam family: Bacterial small subunit ribosomal RNA
Source: RNAcentral